This is a non-coding RNA of Haemonchus contortus (barber pole worm), 75 nucleotides long. The record is from Rfam. NCBI's taxonomy places the organism in Eukaryota, Metazoa, Nematoda, Chromadorea, Rhabditida, Trichostrongylidae.
GGCCCAAACUUGAAGUAAAGUAGAUUAGUGAGGUCAGCUGAUCCUACUAUUCUACUGUUCUUCGAAAUUGGGCCC